CCUACGGGUGGCUGCAGUGAGGAAUAUUGGUCAAUGGACGAGAGUCUGAACCAGCCAAGUAGCGUGAAGGAUGACUGCUCUAUGGUUUGUAAACUUCUUUUAUAUAGGAAUAAAACGAGGCACGUGUGCCUUUUUGUAUGUACCUUAUGAAUAAGGAUCGGCUAACUCCGUGCCAGCAGCCGCGGUAAUACGGAGGAUCCGAGCGUUAUCCGGAUUUAUUGGGUUUAAAGGGAGCGUAGGUGGGUAGUUAAGUCAGUUGUGAAAGUUUGCGGCUCAACCAUAAAAUUGCAAUUGAUACUGGCAGACUUGAGUACAGUUGAGGUAGGCGGAAUGCGUGGUGUAGCGGUGAAAUGCUUAGAUAUCACGAAGAACCCCGAUUGCGAAGGCAGCUUACUAAACUAUGACUGACAUUGAUGCUCGAAAGUGUGGGUAUCAAACAGGAUUAGAUACCCGAGUAGUC
RNAcentral lists this ribosomal RNA (460 nucleotides) under uncultured bacterium. RNAcentral's name for it is "partial 16S ribosomal RNA". It matches the Rfam family "Bacterial small subunit ribosomal RNA", at positions 338 to 795 of the family's 1533-position model. The record is from RNAcentral.